RNAcentral lists this transfer RNA (87 nucleotides) under Phycisphaerales bacterium. RNAcentral's name for it is "tRNA-Leu". It matches the Rfam family "tRNA". Rfam says of the family: Transfer RNA (tRNA) molecules are approximately 80 nucleotides in length. Their secondary structure includes four short double-helical elements and three loops (D, anti-codon, and T loops). Further hydrogen bonds mediate the characteristic L-shaped molecular structure. tRNAs have two regions of fundamental functional importance: the anti-codon, which is responsible for specific mRNA codon recognition, and the 3' end, to which the tRNAs corresponding amino acid is attached (by aminoacyl-tRNA synthetases). tRNAs cope with the degeneracy of the genetic code in two manners: having more than one tRNA (with a specific anti-codon) for a particular amino acid; and 'wobble' base-pairing, i.e. permitting non-standard base-pairing at the 3rd anti-codon position. The record is from RNAcentral. Lineage: Bacteria; Pseudomonadati; Planctomycetota; Phycisphaerae; Phycisphaerales.
GCGGAUGUGGCGGAAUUGGUAGACGCGCAUGAUUCAGGUUCAUGUGGGCUAACGCCCGUGGGAGUUCGAGUCUCCCUUUCCGCACCA